RNAcentral lists this ribosomal RNA (409 nucleotides) under uncultured Pseudomonas sp. RNAcentral describes it as "bacterial SSU rRNA". It matches the Rfam family "Bacterial small subunit ribosomal RNA", at positions 974 to 1382 of the family's 1533-position model. The record is from RNAcentral. Lineage: Bacteria; Pseudomonadati; Pseudomonadota; Gammaproteobacteria; Pseudomonadales; Pseudomonadaceae.
ACGGGCCUUGACAUGCAGAGAACUUUCCAGAGAUGGAUUGGUGCCUUCGGGAACUCUGACACAGGUGCUGCAUGGCUGUCGUCAGCUCGUGUCGUAAGAUGUUGGGUUAAGUCCCGUAACGAGCGCAACCCUUGUCCUUAGUUACCAGCACGUUAUGGUGGGCACUCUAAGGAGACUGCCGGUGACAAACCGGAGGAAGGUGGGGAUGACGUCAAGUCAUCAUGGCCCUUACGGCCUGGGCUACACACGUGCUACAAUGGUCGGUACAAAGGGUUGCCAAGCCGCGAGGUGGAGCUAAUCCCAUAAAACCGAUCGUAGUCCGGAUCGCAGUCUGCAACUCGACUGCGUGAAGUCGGAAUCGCUAGUAAUCGUGGAUCAGCAUGCCACGGUGAAUACGUUCCCGGGCCUU